Molecule: ribosomal RNA, 417 nt
Filed under: uncultured bacterium
Lineage: Bacteria
Description: bacterial SSU rRNA
Rfam family: Bacterial small subunit ribosomal RNA
Source: RNAcentral
AACGAACGCUGGCGGCAUGCCUAACACAUGCAAGUCGAACGAAGUCUUCGGACUUAGUGGCGCACGGGUGCGUAACGCGUGGGAAUCUGCCCUUGGGUGCGGAAUAACUUCUCGAAAGGGAUGCUAAUACCGCAUAAUGUCGUAAGACCAAAGAUUUAUCGCCCAAGGAUGAGCCCGCGUAAGAUUAGCUAGUUGGUGGGUAAAAGCCUACCAAGGCGACGAUCUUUAGCUGGUCUGAGAGGAUGAUCAGCCACACUGGGACUGAGACACGGCCCAGACUCCUACGGGAGGCAACAGUGGGGAAUAUUGGACAAUGGGCGAAAGCCUGAUCAGCAAUGCCGCGUGAGUGAUGAAGGCCCUAGGGUUGUAAAGCUCUUUUACCAGGGAUGAUAAUGACAGUACCUGGAGAAUAAGACU